RNAcentral lists this unclassified non-coding RNA (1823 nucleotides) under Saccoglossus kowalevskii. Its description in RNAcentral is "splicing factor, proline- and glutamine-rich-like, transcript variant X2". The record is from RNAcentral. Lineage: Eukaryota; Metazoa; Hemichordata; Enteropneusta; Harrimaniidae.
AUUCAUAGCGGUUGAGCAAGCUCGCUUGUGUUGAAAUUAUUUUCUCUCAUUGUUGGUUUAAAUUUUGUCAGAGCUACAUGUCUUACAGCAAGCAAAUGCCGGGUCAAGGAAACAAGCACAAUCAAGGAGGCUCCUCAAACCACAAAGGUGGUAAUAUGGACAGGAACAAGGGCAAACACGCAAGACCACAUCAAAAACAAGAACAGCCUGUCGUUGAUGAGAGCUUGCCGUCAGAUGUUGGUGGUGAAGACAACCCAGUGCAACAAAAAGUGGAGAAGAAAUUCUCUGGACGAUGUCGCCUUUUUGUGGGAAACCUUACAAACGAUACGGACGAAGAAGAAUUCAAAAAGAUGUUUAAAAAGUACGGCGAUGUUUCUGAGGUGUACCUCAACAAAGAGCGUGGAUUUGGUUUCAUCAGAUUGGAUACAAGACUAAAUGCAGAAAUGGCAAAAUCUGAACUAGAUGGAUCCACAAGAAGGGGUAGAGUUUUACGUGUCAGAUUUGCUACGCAUGGGGCAGCUCUACGCAUUCGUAAUUUGCACCCAGUUGUAUCCAAUGAACUCCUGGAACAAGCUUUCUCACAAUUUGGUGUAAUUGAAAGAGCUGUUGUUAUUGUUGAUGAUCGUGGUAGACCAACUGGUGAUGGAAUUGUAGAGUUCUCACGAAAACCUGGUGCACAAAAUGCACUGAAAAGGUGUAAAGAGGGCUGCUUUGUUCUUACCACCACCCCAAAGCCCAUCAUUGUAGAACCACUCGACCAAAAAGAUGAAGAAGAUGGUUUACCAGAAAAAAAUGUUCAAAAAAAUGCUACUUAUCACAAAGAAAGAGAAGGUAUUCCUAGAUUUGCUGCUCCGGGUUCCUUUGAAUAUGAAUGGUCCUGUAAGUGGAAACAACAGUAUGAAUAUGAACAAGAACAAUUAGAAUUAUUGAAGAAACAACAAAUGGAUGGUCGUGAUAAGUUGGAUUGCGAGAUGGAGUCUGCAGCUGGUGAACGUCAGGCGAUGUUAAUGAGACAGGAUCUUAUGAGAAGGCAAGAAGAACUUAGAAGAUUGGAAGAAAAUCGUAGAGAUAUGGAAAGAAGGCGUCAAGAAGAGUUCAAGAUGAGGGAAGAACAACGCCGAAGAGAAAUGGCUGCCAAGCAGGAAGAUAUGAUGAGGCGUCGUGAUAGUGACUUGCGCAUGCAACAAGAGUCUUUGAUGAGACGGAGGCCUGAUGACAUGGUUUUACAGAGAGAUCAAGCAUUGCAACAAGAUGAUAUGAAAAGACAAAUGUUUUUACAGUCAAGAUCAAUGGGCUAUAACAAGCAAGAGGCCUUGCGUAAUAUGGGUGGUGGAGGCAGUGUUGGUGGCAAUAACAGUGGAGGUUCUGCUAGCGGUGCAGGAGGAGGUGGAAACUCAUCCGGUGGCCCACAAAGCUUGAUGGGUUCACAAAGAGGAUUAAAUAAUUCAGGCAGUCCAGCUUCAUUGAUGAGUGUUCAAAGCCCACUUGGAGGACCGGACAUCUGGUGUCGCAUUCCCUUUGUUCCUGUGCACUGAUUGAAUAUGUAUAAAUAAUACUUUAUCACAAGUGUUGAAUAUAUGAAUAUUCAGUGAUUACUUACCAGAGUGUAACCAAGUCAAUGAUAUAACCAUGCUACAAAGCGUUUUGAUGAGAAACUAAAGCAGGUGCAUACAGAAUACAUAUGCAGAAGACCUGUUCCUCUUCCUGGCAGCUUCUCACAAAGUGGACAUAAAAAAAAUGCUUUAAAUUACAAUAUGGACUGUGCAAUAUCAAUGUGUAUACUAUUUGUAGAAUUUGAUGCAAUAAAAAAUAUGGUCAAAAUA